GCCAGCAGACAUAUCACCCUGCAAUAACUGGCAACCCACUGAAGCUAAGCAGGUGUGAGCCUGGUCAGUACCUGGAUGGGAGACCUCCUGGGAAAAACUAAGGUUGCUGCUGGAA
This 115-nucleotide ribosomal RNA is filed under the name Lepisosteus oculatus (spotted gar). The record is from RNAcentral. Lineage: Eukaryota; Metazoa; Chordata; Actinopteri; Semionotiformes; Lepisosteidae.